AAUGAACGUUGGCGGCGUGGAUUAGGCAUGCAAGUCGAGCGGAAAGGCCCUUCGGGGUACUCAAGCGGCGAAAGGGAGAGUAAUGCGUGGAUCAUCUACCUUCAGGACCGGGAUAGCCGGGGGAAACCCCGGGUAAUACCGGAUAACGUCUCCGGACCAAAGGUGUAAGUCCGCCUGGAGAUGAGUCCGCGUCCUACUAGCUUGUUGGUGAGGUAACGGCUCACCAAGGCUAAGAUGGGUACGGGGUGUGAGAGCACGACCCCGCUCACUGGGACUGAGACACUGCCCAGACACCUACGGGAGGCUG
This 307-nucleotide ribosomal RNA is filed under the name uncultured Planctomycetota bacterium. RNAcentral describes it as "bacterial SSU rRNA". It matches the Rfam family "Bacterial small subunit ribosomal RNA", at positions 29 to 351 of the family's 1533-position model. Lineage: Bacteria; Pseudomonadati; Planctomycetota. The record is from RNAcentral.